ACAGCUUGUGUUUUAAAUUGAUUGUCUUGGAUUUGAAAAGUGCUUUUAUCUCUUUUAAUCAAUUUCUCUUUUCACUUCUUGUGUGCUAGUUGUUUCUCUUGAUGUUUUCUUCAAUUUUAAAUUUAAUAUCUUUCUGCAUUUUAGUAUUUGCACUUUGUAAUGGUAUGAAAAGGCACCCAUGGUCUAAUUUACAUUAGUUAGUGGGCUCAAAGCCUUUUUGAUAUGUCAUCAAUAGUUUUACAUGAUGUGAAGAUAGCUAAUAGCUUCCUUUCUUUGGACAUUUUUAGGUGGUCCAACUCCUGAGGUGGGCCACAUGGUGGACUGUUUGGCUCUCUAAUUAUGG
RNAcentral lists this unclassified non-coding RNA (343 nucleotides) under Hevea brasiliensis (rubber tree). The record is from RNAcentral. Lineage: Eukaryota; Viridiplantae; Streptophyta; Magnoliopsida; Malpighiales; Euphorbiaceae.